AUUCUAGAGUUUGAUCAUGGCUCAGGACGAACGCUGGCGGCGUGCCUAAUACAUGCAAGUCGAGCGGACAGAAGGGAGCUUGCUCCCGGAUGUUAGCGGCGGACGGGUGAGUAACACGUGGGUAACCUGCCUGUAAGACUGGGAUAACUCCGGGAAACCGGAGCUAAUACCGGAUAGUUCCUUGAACCGCAUGGUUCAAGGAUGAAAGACGGUUUCGGCUGUCACUUACAGAUGGACCCGCGGCGCAUUAGCUAGUUGGUGGGGUAAUGGCUCACCAAGGCGACGAUGCGUAGCCGACCUGAGAGGGUGAUCGGCCACACUGGGACUGAGACACGGCCCAGACUCCUACGGGAGGCAGCAGUAGGGAAUCUUCCGCAAUGGACGAAAGUCUGACGGAGCAACGCCGCGUGAGUGAUGAAGGUUUUCGGAUCGUAAAGCUCUGUUGUUAGGGAAGAACAAGUGCGAGAGUAACUGCUCGCACCUUGACGGUACCUAACCAGAAAGCCACGGCUAACUACGUGCCAGCAGCCGCGGUAAUACAUAGGUGGCAAGCGUUGUCCGGAAUUAUUGGGCGUAAAGGGCUCGCAGGCGGUUUCUUAAGUCUGAUGUGAAAGCCCCCGGCUCAACCGGGGGAGGGUCAUUGGAAACUGGGAAACUUGAGUGCAGAAGAGGAGAGUGGAAUUCCACGUGUAGCGGUGAAAUGCGUAGAGAUGUGGAGGAACACCAGUGGCGAAGGCGACUCUCUGGUCUGUAACUGACGCUGAGGAGCGAAAGCGUGGGGAGCGAACAGGAUUAGAUACCCUGGUAGUCCACGCCGUAAACGAUGAGUGCUAAGUGUUAGGGGGUUUCCGCCCCUUAGUGCUGCAGCUAACGCAUUAAGCACUCCGCCUGGGGAGUACGGUCGCAAGACUGAAACUCAAAGGAAUUGACGGGGGCCCGCACAAGCGGUGGAGCAUGUGGUUUAAUUCGAAGCAACGCGAAGAACCUUACCAGGUCUUGACAUCCUCUGACAACCCUAGAGAUAGGGCUUUCCCUUCGGGGACAGAGUGACAGGUGGUGCAUGGUUGUCGUCAGCUCGUGUCGUGAGAUGUUGGGUUAAGUCCCGCAACGAGCGCAACCCUUGAUCUUAGUUGCCAGCAUUCAGUUGGGCACUCUAAGGUGACUGCCGGUGACAAACCGGAGGAAGGUGGGGAUGACGUCAAAUCAUCAUGCCCCUUAUGACCUGGGCUACACACGUGCUACAAUGGACAGAACAAAGGGCUGCAAGACCGCAAGGUUUAGCCAAUCCCAUAAAUCUGUUCUCAGUUCGGAUCGCAGUCUGCAACUCGACUGCGUGAAGCUGGAAUCGCUAGUAAUCGCGGAUCAGCAUGCCGCGGUGAAUACGUUCCCGGGCCUUGUACACACCGCCCGUCACACGGUACCAU
Molecule: ribosomal RNA, 1424 nt
Filed under: Bacillus pumilus
Lineage: Bacteria; Bacillati; Bacillota; Bacilli; Caryophanales; Bacillaceae
Description: bacterial SSU rRNA
Rfam family: Bacterial small subunit ribosomal RNA
Source: RNAcentral